This is a long non-coding RNA of Carassius auratus (goldfish), 961 nucleotides long. RefSeq lists it as uncharacterized. Lineage: Eukaryota; Metazoa; Chordata; Actinopteri; Cypriniformes; Cyprinidae. The record is from RefSeq and is a predicted model, not a curated record. The transcript has 3 exons.
GAAAAAAACAGAGUGCUUGCAGUCUGUUUCACAUUAGGAGGCAUUUUGCUACAUAAUCGAUCCACCACAGACCAUAUGCAACUAUAGAAGCUCAACUUCCAUUAAAUGAACUUAAAACGCUCAAGUAACGUUAUAGGUCUCAAAACGCUUGCUCUGCGCCAGUGGAUACACACAGUUAUGUGCAUGUCACAGACUGUCCGCGCAUGGACUUCCGCGUUUCAGAGAUCCGCCUUUUACUUUCAGUCAACAUUACAUUAAUUAACGUUUAAAAAUUGAUUUUUGACAAUUGUGAAUCAAUUCAAGAAUCGUCUGCUUAUGCAUUGCGAUACAUUUAAGAAUCAAAUUUUUAUCCCAUCCCUACUAAAUAUACGAUAUCAUGUAAAUGUAAAAAAAUGAAAUACAAAAAUAAAAUAAAAAAAUGGUAUAGGUAUUAAUUACUAUUGUGAUGUUGAUUGUUUUAGGAGACACUUUGACAAGUGGGCACUGGAUGCUGAGUAUGGAAGGCGAGGUGGUGUGUGAGGGCACUCAGCCCAGUUUCCUGUCCGGCCUUGCCACUCUGUUUGCUGCUUAUUACUAGUUUAAUCUUGAGUAUCAGGAGGAAGCAGUGUGUACCUUGGAGUUCAUUCAAAGGUGCUUUGUGGGCAUAAAUCCGGAGAGAGGAUCCAAAGCCAAGGGAAAAGUACCAUCGAAAUAAAAACAGGACAAGUGAUACAGAAGAAAAUGUGUGGCAGUCAACCCACAUGUUGCCACUCUUCUGUGCAAAUUCCAAUGGAAUUUCUGAAAUUCACACUUUGAAUCCUGGGAUGGAACUUCAUCUGGAGCAUAAUUGUUAUUUGGUUGAUUUUUAUCUGUUUGAUGGAAAGUUUGUAUGACUUGUUUGGCCAUAUUGGUCUAUCCUUUAAGUGAUGAAAUCUAAAAACGUCUUUGUGGUUUUUAAAGGAUUAGUUCACCCAAAAAUGAA